GAAGUCGGAAUUGCUAGUAAUGGCAGGUCAGCAUACUGCCGUGAAUACGUUCCCGGGCCUUGUACACACCGCCCGUCACACCAUGAGAGUUGGAGAUACCCGAAGCCUAUGAGCUAACUUUUAGAGGCAGUAGUCGAAGGUAGAAUCAAUGAUUGGGGUGAAGUCGUAACAAGGUAAC
This 178-nucleotide ribosomal RNA is filed under the name uncultured bacterium. RNAcentral describes it as "partial 16S ribosomal RNA". It matches the Rfam family "Bacterial small subunit ribosomal RNA", at positions 1322 to 1500 of the family's 1533-position model. The record is from RNAcentral.